AAUUUAAAGAGUUUGAUCCUGGCUCCGAAUUAAUGCUUUUGGUUAAUAUUACACAUGCAAGUUAAAAUUAGUUAUUUUUAGCGUACGGGUGAGUAAAACGUAAAAAUUACUUUAAUAAAAAAGUUUACGUAAGAUUAAGUUUUAAUUUCAAAUUAAUAAUUAAAUUAGCUAACAAUCUUUAGUUAAUCUUUGAGGAUGAUUAGCCACAUUGGAAUUGAAAAACGGUCCAGACUAUUAUUAGGCAGCAGUGAAGAAUAUUGGACAAUGAACGUAAGUUUGAUCCAGUUAAACCAAUUAUGUGAUGAAGAUUUUUUAUUGUAAAACAUAAAAUAUUAAAAAAAUUAUGAUUUUUAAUAUUUUUUAGUCCUGGCUAAUUUCGUGCCAGCAGCCGCGGUAAAACGGGAAGGGCAAGUGUUAUUCUAAUUUAUUGGGCGUAAAGAAUUAUAAGGUUGUAAAUUUAUGUAAAAAUUUUUAUUUUAAUGAAAUUUAUUUUUAAAAAAUAAUUGUUUAAAUUUACUCGAGUUUAAAUAAAAGAUUUUAGAAUUUUAAGUGUAACGGUAAAAUGUAUUAAUAUUUAAAAGAAUUUCUAAAGUAAAUACAAAAAUCUAAUUUAAUACUGACACUUUUUAAUUAAAGUAUAGGUAGCAAAAGGGAUUAGAUACCCCUGUAGUCUAUACUCUGAACUAUGAAUGUUAUUAAAUUACUGUGUAAAUUAAUUAAAUUAACGUAAAAACAUUUCGCCUGGGAACUACGAUCGCAAGGUUAAAACCCAAAGGAAUUGACGGGAAUUCAAACAAGCAGUGGAGCAUGUGGUUUAAAUCGACAAUACGCGAGAAAUCUUACCAAUCUUUGAUUUUUUUCAGGUGUUGCAUGGCUGUCGUCAGUCCGUGCUGUGAAGUGUUUGGUUUAUUCCAAUGAACGGACGAAACUUUUUUUUGUUUAUUACAUUUUUAUUAAGGAUAUCUUAAUAAAAUAAAAAUGACGACAAGUCUUCAUGACCCUUAUAAAUUGGGCUACUUUCAUGUGCUACAGUGUUCUUAACAAAAAAUAAUUAUAAUAUUUUAAUUAAAUUAAUCACAACAAAGAAACAUAACUUUCGGAUUGUUUUCUGUAACUCGAAUACAUGAAGUUGAAAUUGCUAGUAAUCGUUAAUAAGAACGUUACGGUGAAUAAGUUCUUGAAUUUUGUACACACCGCCCGUCACAUUAUGGGAAUCAAUUUUGCUUGAAGAAAUUUUAAAGUAAAAAGAAGACUAGAGUGAAGUCGUAACAAGGUAGCCGUAGGGGAACCUGUGGCUGGAAUAAAAAUUAA
Molecule: non-coding RNA, 1311 nt
Filed under: Vertebrata lanosa
Lineage: Eukaryota; Rhodophyta; Florideophyceae; Ceramiales; Rhodomelaceae
Description: small subunit ribosomal RNA
Rfam family: Bacterial small subunit ribosomal RNA
Source: RNAcentral